RNAcentral lists this ribosomal RNA (467 nucleotides) under uncultured bacterium. RNAcentral's name for it is "partial 16S ribosomal RNA". It matches the Rfam family "Bacterial small subunit ribosomal RNA", at positions 29 to 507 of the family's 1533-position model. The record is from RNAcentral.
ACGCACGCUGGCGGCGUGCUUAACACCUGCAGGUCGAACGGAAAGGCCCUGCUUUUGUGGGGUGCUCGAGUGGCGAACGGGUGAGUAACACGUGAGUAACCUGCCCUUGACUUUGGGAUAACUUCAGGAAACUGGGGCUAAUACCGGAUAGGAGCUCCUGCUGCAUGGUGGGGGUUGGAAAGUUUCGGCGGUUGGGGAUGGACUCGCGGCUUAUCAGCUUGUUGGUGGGGUAGUGGCUUACCAAGGCUUUGACGGGUAGCCGGCCUGAGAGGGUGACCGGCCACAUUGGGACUGAGAUACGGCCCAGACUCCUACGGGAGGCAGCAGUGGGGAAUAUUGCACAAUGGGCGGAAGCCUGAUGCAGCAACGCCGCGUGCGGGAUGACGGCCUUCGGGUUGUAAACCGCUUUCGCCUGUGACGAAGCGUGAGUGACGGUAAUGGGUAAAGAAGCACCGGCUAACUACGUG